RNAcentral lists this transfer RNA (64 nucleotides) under Cambaroides dauricus. RNAcentral's name for it is "tRNA-His". The record is from RNAcentral. Lineage: Eukaryota; Metazoa; Arthropoda; Malacostraca; Decapoda; Cambaridae. RNAcentral also lists the same sequence under 2 other names.
AUUUAAAUAGUUUAAGUAAAACGUUGAUUUGUGGUGUCAAAAUUAUAAUUAGUUAUUUUAAAUA